Long non-coding RNA from Drosophila ananassae, 2070 nucleotides. RefSeq lists it as uncharacterized. NCBI's taxonomy places the organism in Eukaryota, Metazoa, Arthropoda, Insecta, Diptera, Drosophilidae. The record is from RefSeq and is a predicted model, not a curated record. The transcript is spliced from 2 exons.
UUAAAAGGGUAAUAAUGAUGAAUUGGUUUAUAUUUUUUCACUCAGAAAAUAAUCAUUAUUCUUUGAUCGAAAAAAUAUAUAUCAGGAAUAAGCAUUAUUUAUGAUUUUUAUUUUUUUUCGCUCACUUGAUUCAAGAUUGUGGGCUAUUUGAAAACUUUUCUGGAUAUUUGAAUGCAUAUACAUAUUAUUAGAUCAAAAACACAGGUACAUAUUAAUACUGUGAGUCUUCCUCUAUUACUCCUCCGUAUAAUGAAAUAACCUUCAGGCUCCUUUGAACCAAAGUCUAGAACACAUAUAGGUUCCAUCAUCCACAGUUUCAGCGGUACACAAAAAAGUAUUUUGAAAAUGUUUUGAGCCAAACAGCUAAUCGACCGAUUUUUAGAGGACAUUUAUAUAUAUUCUGUUUCCCACAUAGGCUUUCAGUAUUUUUGAGCGCACAGAUCUCAGAAACGUAGUCGUAUUCAAAGAACGUGUAAAAGUUCCGACUAAAUGUACCUGGAUUCUGCAAGGGACUGAUCGGGUUCAUCAUGCGCUUGCUGUGAUCAGGCUAGAGUUGAUGUGAGAUACUUGAAGUCCUGGGUUGGUUGUCCUCAAGUACAGAUAGUACGGGGUUUCGGCGGAUUCCGUAUCGGCCGAUCCUACUUAUGGGCCGUUUCACGGGAGCAACUUUCGAAGUAGGUUGGAUAACGCGGUUCCUACUUGUGGUCCGUUUUACGGAAGCAACACUCGAAGUAGAUUAGAUACCGAAGGCUACUUGUGGUCCGUUUUACACAGGAGCCACUCGAAGUGGGUUUGAUGACGAAAGUUCUACUUGUUGUCAGUUUACACAGGAGCCACUCGAAGUAGAUAGUUUUAAGAAAGUCCUACUUGUGGUCCGUUUUACACAGGAGCAACUCUCGAAGUAGGUUUGUUUUAAGAGAGUCUUACUUGUGGUCCGUUUUAGGCAGGAUCACUCGAAGUAGGUUGGUUUUAAGUGCCAUACCUUGACACUGAGUAACGAACCGAUCUACUCUGUAUUCGCAACUAUCUUUAUUUUAGAAGAACAAUUCUUUUACAGAUUCUAAAUUAUACAUAAUUAUACAAAGGUCAAUGUUAUGAACGUGUUGGAACGACACUGGCAUUACCCACCUCUGAGUCUGCUCAGUCAGAUUGCUGGUCAUGCAUGGCAUGUUCAUGCAUUUCGGCUUAGCUAGCUGGCUUUGCUUGCUUCGGUCAGUCGGUCAAUCUUCCCGCUUAUACUGCUGAUUACCGCUUCUGGCGCCGCUUCGCUCCCGGAAUUAACGUUUAUUACCCUUGUCAAAAACAUAUCUUGAGCCAUCCCACGACAUUUAUGGCAAUUACUUUUUUUGUCAAAAUGUAGACGGCCGCACUUUCACUGGCUUCUCCCCUCAUGGGGAGAGAAAAAAUAUAUAGAAGUUUCACCUGGUAAAUUGUUUAUUUUUCUAAAUAAAUUGGUAGUCAUAGUUAAAAAAUGUGUACCAAAAGACUCCGACCAAAGUUGAUAUUCUUUACUAAUUUUUUAUAUUUCUUUUUUAGAAACCCCCAGAAAAGCCAGCAAUGAAGAGGACAUAAAUGUGCAUAGAUCAGAUCAACAUGUUAUACAAAAAAGAAAGUAGAAGAAAGUCACCAUCCGCAGUUUAAUGCACCAAAUUUAAGUCGCUAUCAUUUUGUAAGUAGCCAAGAGGUUGCGAACAAAGCUCAAGGUUCUAUUCAAAGUUCAAAGAAUACUUCUGAACUAGUCAACAUAAAAGGCGGUGAUGAAUCAUCUAUGGUUUGGAAAGUUAAACGACGACCAGAUGGAUCUCGGUACAUUGUGAAACGACCGGUGCGUAAUCGCACAAUUCAAAAAAAUAUUCGGGGAAAUGAGCUACCUACUGAAGAGGAAACAAUAUCAGAAGAGAAAAUUGGUCGUUGUUGGACAAAGGAUGAACGGAAAAGGCAUAUAGAACGGGCACGAGAGCGGCGACAUCAUAAAACAUAGCUGCACGAAAAACAAUAAAUGUUUUUUCCUAUAUAUCCUAAGUAAUACAUUACAUAGCUUUACUUAGAAUUAAAUAUGUAGCAUUCAUA